AGAUUGAACGCUGGCGGCAUGCCUUACACAUGCAAGUCGAACGGCAGCACGGGGGCAACCCUGGUGGCGAGUGGCGAACGGGUGAGUAAUGCAUCGGAACGUGCCCAGUAGUGGGGGAUAACUAGUCGAAAGAUUAGCUAAUACCGCAUACGACCUAUGGGUGAAAGCGGGGGAUUCGCAAGAACCUCGCGCUAUCGGAGCGGCCGAUGUCUGAUUAGCUAGUUGGCGGGGUAAAGCCCACCAAGGCGACGAUCAGUAGCUGGUCUGAGAGGACGACCAGCCACACUGGGACUGAGACACGGCCCAGACU
RNAcentral lists this ribosomal RNA (310 nucleotides) under uncultured soil bacterium. RNAcentral's name for it is "bacterial SSU rRNA". It matches the Rfam family "Bacterial small subunit ribosomal RNA", at positions 26 to 337 of the family's 1533-position model. The record is from RNAcentral.